AUUUAUUUUUAAUGUGAGAAAGUAAACGCAUCUGUAUCUCAGGGAAAAGCUACACCACUUCAGCUUCUGGAUUCAGUCAUUCCUGCUUGUUCAGAACCACAGGGUAAAAUGAGCACUGCAUUUACAAAGGUCUAAUCACAAGUGAGGGCACCGUCUCAACCUUUCACCGGGCGUCAAGGUGCAGCGGCCUCCGUAGACUUCUGACUCAGAACACCAGGCCAGACGCCAUCUGGGAGCACAUCUAGACUUUCUAUGAUAAAAAGAAAAAACAAGAUGUGUCGGGGGCUCUUCCGGCUGUGAAAGGGCUGUAUCCCAGCAACAGCUCAUGAUGUUUCUGACAACUUACUAGCAUUUAUUUGAGGGUGAUUAAAAACAGCAUGUGUAAAGCAUUCAAA
Long non-coding RNA from Sapajus apella (tufted capuchin), 395 nucleotides. RefSeq lists it as uncharacterized. NCBI's taxonomy places the organism in Eukaryota, Metazoa, Chordata, Mammalia, Primates, Cebidae. The transcript is spliced from 2 exons. The record is from RefSeq and is a predicted model, not a curated record.